CCUCUUUCUACUGCUAGUACCUCUCCCUAUACAACCAAGCAUUCUGCUAGCAUUUCCUGCUGCUCUAUUACAUUGUCUGCCUACCUUUAAGUCAUCAGAAAUAAUCACCCCUAAAUCUCUUUCCUCAGAUGUUGAGGUUAGGACACAAUCAAAUAUUCUGUACUCUGCCUUUGGGGUUUUACGUCCAAGAUGCAUUAUCUUGCACUUAUUCACAUUAAAAGUCAGUUGCCACAACUUUUUCUAGUUUACCUAAAUCAUUUGCCAUUUGGCUUAUACCUCCCCGAACAUCAACCCUG
RNAcentral lists this long non-coding RNA (296 nucleotides) under Pelobates cultripes (western spadefoot toad). The record is from RNAcentral. Lineage: Eukaryota; Metazoa; Chordata; Amphibia; Anura; Pelobatidae.